UCAGGAUGAACGCUAGCUACAGGCUUAACACAUGCAAGUCGAGGGGCAGCAUGAUCUAAGCUUGCUUAGAUUGAUGGCGACCGGCGCACGGGUGAGUAACGCGUAUCCAACCUUCCCUAUAGUAGAGGAUAGCCCGGCGAAAGUCGGAUUAAUACUCUAUGUUUUCCAAUGCAGACAUCUAAGUUGGAACAAAGGUUCACCGCUAUAGGAUGGGGAUGCGUCUGAUUAGAUAGUAGGCGGGGUAACGGCCCACCUAGUCGACGAUCAGUAGGGGUUCUGAGAGGAAGGUCCCCCACAUUGGAACUGAGACACGGUCCAAACUCCUACGGGAGGCAGCAGUGAGGAAUAUUGGUCAAUGGGCGAGAGCCUGAACCAGCCAAAAGUAGCGUGCAGGAUGACGGCCCUAUGGGUUGUAAACUGCUUUUAUCGGGGGAUAAAGUGAGGGACGUGUCCCUUAUUGUAGGUACCCGAUGAAUAAGGACCGGCUAAUUCCGUGCCAGCCGCGGC
RNAcentral lists this ribosomal RNA (507 nucleotides) under uncultured bacterium. RNAcentral's name for it is "bacterial SSU rRNA". It matches the Rfam family "Bacterial small subunit ribosomal RNA", at positions 24 to 518 of the family's 1533-position model. The record is from RNAcentral.